This 329-nucleotide ribosomal RNA is filed under the name uncultured eukaryote. RNAcentral's name for it is "partial 18S ribosomal RNA". It matches the Rfam family "Eukaryotic small subunit ribosomal RNA", at positions 1470 to 1796 of the family's 1831-position model. The record is from RNAcentral.
CCCUUAGAUGUUCUGGGCCGCACGCGCGCUACACUGAUGCAUUCAACGAGUCUAAAACCUGCUCUGAUAGGGGUGGGUAAUCUUUUGAAUGUGCAUCGUGAUUGGGAUAGAUGAUUGCAAUUUUUCAUCUUCAACGAGGAAUGCCUAGUAAACGCAAGUCAUCAGCUUGCAUUGAUUACGUCCCUGCCCUUUGUACACACCGCCCGUCGCUACUACCGAUUGGGAAAAUUUUAGAGAGUCCUGGACUGAUGAUUGUUCGGCUUCACGGCCUUACUUUCGUCGGGAAAGAAUUCGAUAAUAUUUUUCUAGAGGAAGUAAAAGUCGUAACA